RNAcentral lists this ribosomal RNA (493 nucleotides) under uncultured bacterium. RNAcentral's name for it is "partial 16S ribosomal RNA". It matches the Rfam family "Bacterial small subunit ribosomal RNA", at positions 30 to 523 of the family's 1533-position model. The record is from RNAcentral.
AUUGAACGCUGGCGGCAUGCUUUACACAUGCAAGUCGAACGGUAACAGGUUAAGCUGACGAGUGGCGAACGGGUGAGUAAUGCAUCGGAACGUGCCCGGUCGUGGGGGAUAACGCAGCGAAAGCUGCGCUAAUACCGCAUACGAUCUAAGGAUGAAAGAGGGGGACCGUAAGGCCUCGCGCGAUCGGAGCGGCCGAUGUCAGAUUAGGUAGUUGGUGGGGUAAAGGCUCACCAAGCCAACGAUCUGUAACUGGUCUGAGAGGACGACACGCCACACUGGGACUGAGACACGGCCCAGACUCCUCCGGGAGGCAGCAGUGGGGAAUUUUGGACAAGGGGCGAAAGCCUGAUCCAGCAAUGCCGCGUGCAGGAAGAAGACCUUCGGGUUGUAAACUGCUUUUGUACGGAGCGAAAAGGUCUCCUCUAAUACAGGGGGCUCAUGACGGUACCGUAAGAAUAAGCACCGGCUAACUACGUGCCAGCAGCCGCCGUAA